UCCGGCUUAACGCCGGCAGUCCCCCUAGAGUGCCCAACUGAAUGGUGGCAGCUAAGGGCAAGGGUUGCGCUCGUUGCGGGACUUAACCCAACAUCUCACGACACGAGCUGACGACAACCAUGCAGCACCUCUGCUCGCUCCCUUGCGGGUCAGCCACUGUUUCCAGCGGCUUACCACGAGUAGUUCAAGCCCAGGUAAGGUUCUUCGCGUUGCGUCGAAUUAAACCACAUGCUCCACCGCUUGUGCGGGCCCCCGUCAAUUCCUUUGAGUUUCAACCUUGCGGCCGUACUCCCCAGGCGGCUCAUUUAAUGCGUUAGCUACGGCGCGAAAGGGGUCGAUACCUCUCACACCUAAUGAGCAUCGUUUAGGGCUAGGACUAC
Molecule: unclassified non-coding RNA, 380 nt
Filed under: uncultured Elusimicrobia bacterium
Lineage: Bacteria; Pseudomonadati; Elusimicrobiota; Elusimicrobia
Description: contains 16S-23S intergenic spacer region
Source: RNAcentral